AGGCUUAACACAUGCAAGUCGAGGGGCAGCAUGGUCUUAGCUUGCUAAGGCCGAUGGCGACCGGCGCACGGGUGAGUAACACGUAUCCAACCUGCCGUCUACUCUUGGACAGCCUUCUGAAAGGAAGAUUAAUACAAGAUGGCAUCAUGAGUCCGCAUGUUCACAUGAUUAAAGGUAUUCCGGUAGACGAUGGGGAUGCGUUCCAUUAGAUAGUAGGCGGGGUAACGGCCCACCUAGUCUUCGAUGGAUAGGGGUUCUGAGAGGAAGGUCCCCCACAUUGGAACUGAGACACGGUCCAAACUCCUACGGGAGGCAGCAGUGAGGAAUAUUGGUCAAUGGGCGAGAGCCUGAACCAGCCAAGUAGCGUGAAGGAUGACUGCCCUAUGGGUUGUAAACUUCUUUUAUAAAGGAAUAAAGUCGGGUAUGCAUACCCGUUUGCAUGUACUUUAUGAAUAAGGAUCGGCUAACUCCGUGCCAGCAGCCGCGGUAAUACGGAGGAUCCGAGCGUUAUCCGGAUUUAUUGGGUUUAAAGGGAGCGUAGAUGGAUGUUUAAGUCAGUUGUGAAAGUUUGCGGCUCAACCGUAAAAUUGCAGUUGAUACUGGAUAUCUUGAGUGCAGUUGAGGCAGGCGGAAUUCGUGGUGUAGCGGUGAAAUGCUUAGAUAUCACGAAGAACUCCGAUUGCGAAGGCAGCCUGCUAAGCUGCAACUGACAUUGAGGCUCGAAAGUGUGGGUAUCAAACAGGAUUAGAUACCCUGGUAGUCCACACGGUAAACGAUGAAUACUCGCUGUUUGCGAUAUACAGCAAGCGGCCAAGCGAAAGCGUUAAGUAUUCCACCUGGGGAGUACGCCGGCAACGGUGAAACUCAAAGGAAUUGACGGGGGCCCGCACAAGCGGAGGAACAUGUGGUUUAGUUCGAUGAUACGCGAGGAACCUUACCCGGGCUUAAAUUGCAGAUGAAUUACGGUGAAAGCCGUAAGCCGCAAGGCAUCUGUGAAGGUGCUGCAUGGUUGUCGUCAGCUCGUGCCGUGAGGUGUCGGCUUAAGUGCCAUAACGAGCGCAACCCUUGUUGUCAGUUACUAACAGGUUCCGCUGAGGACUCUGACAAGACUGCCAUCGUAAGAUGUGAGGAAGGUGGGGAUGACGUCAAAUCAGCACGGCCCUUACGUCCGGGGCUACACACGUGUUACAAUGGGGGGUACAGAGGGCCGCUACCACGCGAGUGGAUGCCAAUCCCAAAAACCUCUCUCAGUUCGGACUGGAGUCUGCAACCCGACUCCACGAAGCUGGAUUCGCUAGUAAUCGCGCAUCAGCCACGGCGCGGUGAAUACGUUCCCGGGCCUUGUACACACCGCCCGUCAAGCCAUGGGAGCCGGGGGUACCUGAAGUGCGUAACCGCGAGGAGCGCCCUAGGGUAAAACUGGUGACUGGGGCU
Molecule: ribosomal RNA, 1434 nt
Filed under: uncultured organism
Description: SSU rRNA
Rfam family: Bacterial small subunit ribosomal RNA
Source: RNAcentral